CGCCACAAACGAAACGUCGUACAUCGUACAGCUUAAUCUAAGUCGGCUAUGUUUUCCUCCUACGAUUUUGUCGCCGCCACGCAAAAAGUUCUUAUCUUAGUCGGUUACCAUCUUAUAUAUAGGCUUUAUAUUCCCUCAACUACAACACCAACUAUUGAGAUUCUACAAUCUCAGCUGUCGCGUUGGCUGCUCUGAUAAGAUGGUCUCUCCUGCCUUCUUUGCCUCUGGAAAGUUUUUGGCUCAAAAAGCUGGAAUGCAGACAAAUUAAAAUUCUUUGCGUGGUUUGCUGGAUUUUCCAUAUUGUAAGAUGUGAAUCAAGGUUAUGUAUUCAGAAGCGUGGAGAACAUCCGUAGGAAUUUUCUCAUGUUGAAUGAAGAUGUAAUAGGUAUAAUGGGGACAUAAAAGGCCUAAUUUCAGGGGGUCAAGUCCCUUUUAAAUUACUCUCUGUUACAACUCUGGCCUUUGCCAUGUCGGGUGCGCUCUCAUGGCAGGUCGCUCACUUAAUAAAGAUUUGUUUUUGCGGGUUUUGGGGUGGAGAUAGCACGGGAACUUUUUGGCCCGGGAUCUCUACCCUCAUUUCUGUGUGUGUGUGUGUUUUCUUGCUUCUCUAAUUCUUCUCUGCUCCUUACGCUCUACGUAGAUGCAUAAAUUGAUCGUCUGACCUAAGUGCAAAUUCUCAACGAACUAUAUAUCCUUAGUUCGCAGCCCAUCUCAGGUACACAACACGUUUCUGGUUGAACUUGCAAUUGAUUAUAAUGCAUAGUGUUAAGGCAAUAAGAGCUUAUAUUUUGAUUCAUGCCUACUAGAAUUAUUCCAAGUAUUGUCAAUUGAAGCAACCCAAACACAAGACGUUUCUACUUAAUUUGCAAUUGAUAUGUUAUAAUGCAUACUUGUCAGAAAACAAGAGCGAGUAAUAUUAUUAUGCUUAGCAGAAUUAUUCUAAAUUCAUUGCAAUGGAAGCAACACCUAAUUCGGGUUUAAUAUAUGUCGCAAGUUUGUGCAGUUAGCGCUGUAGUGGAUGGCGAAUGCGAUCUCCCAUCUCCCAAAGUGUCGGACAUGAAUUUCAUCACAGUUGUAACCCCAAAAUUAGUAAACCAAUUAUCCUGUGAAAUUGCUUGCUACGGUAUCCACGUGAACUUAUCUAUCUAAUCAGCUAAGCAACUUCUAAGUCGGUUGUUUGUACAUUGGCAGCUGGACCUCAGGUAUGCAUUGUAGGCUUGUAAUUUUGAUUUUGCCCAAAUUCACAACUAAUAAUGCAUGUAAGACGCAGAAAACUAAAUAAUGUAUAGUGCUUUCAACUUGAUGCGUCUAUAAUUUGAUAAAGCGAUUACCUACAUACAGAUGUGAUCUACAGACUUGAAUUUUAAUUGCAGCAGAAUGAAGAGCCGAAUAUCUGCUAGUUAUAGAGUAUCCAAACUGGUAUUGAUUUUUCCUUUCAAUGUUGUCAGUUAUCUGACACUUCUGCAUUAGAGGUGUCAUUGCUCUUCUUUAUCAUUCACCAUAUAUUAUUAUGAGCCCUAGUGAAUUUGUGAUGAAUCUUCGGAACAAAAGAAAAAGAAUUGCGAUGAAUCUUGGAGAAUUUCAAAUAUUAGUUGGAGGUCUGCAAUGGUUAGAACUUUCUGCAACCGAAAACUAGAGAGUUCACCUGCAUCACUUUGUAAAUCUGGUAUUGGUGGCCAUCAUUCUGAUUUCUAGUUAUCGGUUGAAAUUUUUUUGCUGUAGUAAGAUUUUAUCUGUUAAACUUGAAUGCAAUUGGUAUCACAUUCGUGGAGGGCUGGCAUUGGUGGCUGUUGUUCCAAUUAUCUUUUACCAAUACAGAGGAUAUGCCAGAAUUACUUUAGCAGUAGUAUGAAAUUUGAAGGUUAGAUAGCGAUCAUGUUUUCAGUUCAAAUAAAUGAGGUGAAAUUGCUGUUGUAUAGAACAACUUAAUUAUAGUGAUACUUCUGCAUAUCUAAAGAUUUUGAGGAUGUAUGUUAUAAUCAAUUUAAUUUGCUGUUUGAGCUAUCCAUUCUAGUACUGUAGAUGUGCUUUAGCACCAGGCGCUCGGGUUGCUUUUUGCGUGUUUCAUUGUAGGCUUUGGGUUUGUAGAUAAGCAGAGGUUUCUGUUACUGUGCUUUGGUAGUAGUAGAUUGUUGGUAAAUCCAUUGUUAUGUCGAACAGUGAGCAAGUACAAGAUGGAAGGUCUCUUUUCCUGUGUAGAGAGGGUGCAGAUGUCUCGUACACAACAGCAAGGGCGAAUGUUGUUCAAGAUUUUUGUUUUUGUUGCUGUGCAAGCUUUUCUUCGGCUGGUAGCUGGGUAAAACAAGCUAUUCAUGGGGUUGAGUUUGGUCAAUGAUAAUGUUUGGCUGCAAAAGAUACUUGUACUUCUUCAGGCUGAGGAAGUGAUUGAGAUGUCGAAUUGUGAAGGAAAUAUCAGGCUGGGUGUAGUGCGGAAAAUUCAACUUUGCAACCGGAUAAUCUGACUGAAGAAUCCAAAGAAACAACUGGGAGGUUAAAAAGAUUCCGGUGUGUUUGUGUUGAUUGACAACAUAACUCUGUGGGAGCUGAGGGAUUUCAUCUAAGGCAAAGGAAAUAAAGAACAAGUCAUACACCUUCUUGAUCCUGUACAAUUCAUUUAGGAGAGACCUCAGGGCGAGCAUUUAAGCAUCAUGAUUACUAGCCAAAAUAUGUGAGAGACAAUGUGACAAGAGGUUUCGUAGAGUUGUGGAAAAAACAUUUGCAUUCGGGGAUGAAUGAUACACCUAUUUUGAACCUCUUUAUCCAAGGACUUCAAAGGCAAAAUUAAAGGACAUACUCUACAAGAGAUGUAAUGUAAGCCGAUAGAGGACAGGGUAUUCAUAUGUUAUUCCUAUUUUUUACAUUUUUAGGAAGGCUGUCGAUGAUAGGCUGUAAUUACGUAUUUUAGUCGAUUAUUACACUCCAAUUUACUGCA
Molecule: RNA transcript, 2932 nt
Organism: Nicotiana tabacum (common tobacco)
Lineage: Eukaryota; Viridiplantae; Streptophyta; Magnoliopsida; Solanales; Solanaceae
Source: RefSeq, a predicted model, not a curated record